Salarias fasciatus (jewelled blenny) is the source of this 743-nucleotide long non-coding RNA. RefSeq lists it as uncharacterized. The record is from RefSeq and is a predicted model, not a curated record. The transcript is spliced from 3 exons. NCBI's taxonomy places the organism in Eukaryota, Metazoa, Chordata, Actinopteri, Blenniiformes, Blenniidae.
UUUUUUAUUUCCUCCGCUUUGCCGUGAUAACGAGUUAAUUUCAGUGGUUUAUCGAGAAGUCGACUUAUUUUUCCACGUUGUCUCGACAAAACAACAAUCCGGUGAACCGGGAAUCCCAGUCUUUCACCAGACAGGACGCUCCGCUCCACGGACCACAGACAGAGAGUCUGACCCAGACUGUGUCUGUUCUGGAGCAGCUCAGAGAACUGCAACAACCUCAUCAAAUUCACCAGAAGGAGCUGGACAUCGUGAUGACAAUGUGGAACACCGGGAUCCAGCCAGGCACUAAAAGAUACGAUCCAUUCCAUGGAAAACCUUUCCUCUGUAUCAUGAACCAGAACUUUACCGAGCACAGGACGACCACCAGCCAGUGGACAGAGGGGACAUUGUCUUGGAAGAGGACAUCUGUCUUUGGAAAACUGACUUUGUAUGUGAUCCAGAUCUUCACCAGCUCUGCCUUGUGGUCAUAAAUAAACUGAAUCUUGAGGCAGGUCAUGAUGCUGCUGAGGCAACCAGACUGUACAGACAGCUGAAGACUUAAUGAGAACACAGCUGUCAGUCAGAUUAACCCCCACCGACCAAAACUGUUGCCACAACAGCCAAUAUUAAAAACUUUAGCCUACCGCUUUGAGCACACUUCCAUUUCCAGUGUUUUAUACACACCUGUUUUCUGAUUUUUUUUCUUUUUUCACAGUGUUAGUUUGUAUGAAACGUAUCAUGGAUGCACUGAAACAAAUAAAUGU